Molecule: long non-coding RNA, 6354 nt
Organism: Amphiprion ocellaris (clown anemonefish)
Lineage: Eukaryota; Metazoa; Chordata; Actinopteri; Pomacentridae
Exons: 3
Source: RefSeq, a predicted model, not a curated record
GGAGAUGAUUAUAGUGCUCACAUUAUUGUCCACACAUUAUCACACACCCACAUGAGGAACUGGUGCAAACAGUUCCUCCUGCAGACACACGCACACACUCACUCACUCAAGAGUGUGGGACCGCCCCACCCUCUACAUUCUUGUACUCUAUGCUUUGCUAUAAAUAAAGGUACAAGGAGCUGCUCAGCGCGUCUCUGCCUCAGAACGUGAGCUGAGCAGGGUGCCCUUGUACAAGAAAUCUCUUUGUCUGUGUUUGAUCUGUUUCUCUCCUCUCAGUUCUGUGAUCCAGGUUGGAGUCAGCCCGCUGGAGGCGGUAAUCCUCUGACAUAAUUCUUGGUCCUUCGAGCCGGAUGGGAAGCCUGAGAUCCCGCUGAGUGGUUAACCUGAAGUCUGUCGACAGCCAGUCACCCAGGGUGUCUGAAAAGACCCAGGACGUGAAUUCGGACCUGGGCCAGAGUUAGAACCAACCCUCACGGUGAUUCUCUGGUUUUCCAUCCGAACUACAGAUCACCAGAACGGGAAAAGUGAAGCCAGGAGACUGGGUCCUAAUCAAGGUGUUCCAGCGACGUAGUUGGAGCGCCCCCAAGUGGGAAGGCCCAUAUCAAGUAUUGUUGACCACACCAACAGCCAUAAAAAUAGCAGAACGACCAUCGUGGAUUCAUCUGACCCACUGCAAGUUAGUAACCGAGGCAGUCAAAGAGUUGCAUAGUGACAGAGACUAGAGUUUCCUAUAGGGCAGUCUACUGGACAGUAUGCAGGACUAGCCUGAUGCGUCUGGGGACACAGACUGAUUAGUCUGGCACUAUAGGCUAGUGAAGAAAUCAACGCGGAUGCCUUGGCAGGCCAAACCGCCCUAUGUAAUCUCUGCAGGUGACUGACCUACAGGUUAUUCAACAUGAGGUCUGUUCGAUCUAAAACUGGCAUUGUGGCUCUUAUUGCAACAUUGACUAUUCUGCUACUCUUAUUAACAGUACUAGAGACUGAAUAUGAACGACAGCGAAGAACACAUCAACACUCCGGUGACUCAACAUGGGAAGAAAACACAUGGUAUCGUGCUAUGAACUGGACUGCAUACAGCAGUAAUAAGACUAAUUGCUAUGUUUGCUCACAGGUACCUCACCACACAGGACACUCUGACACACCAAGACCAGCUGUCUGAUUGGAGCUUUAGCUCCUGGCUUACUGGUCCCUGGAAAGCUAUUCUUCUUCGUAUUGGCAUAAUAAUUUUAGCUAUACUUAUUUUGCUGUGUGCUAUUUCUACUUGCAUUAUUCCAUGUAUUCGUACUUGCAUUACCAGACUUGUUGAUUUCAGAGUCUCUGCAGCUCUCGUCCGUUACGAUCCAUUGCCUCACAAAGACACACCUGGAGGUGUAGACUCGUCAACGGAUUCUGAGGGCUCUGAGGCAGAAGACUCCGUUUAGAUGAAUGUUUAAGUCAUGCAUAUCCUCUAUGACGUGUUAACAGAAAACAGAAAUGAGUUGUUAAUUACUGAUAUCAUGGAAAUGUAUGUCUUAUCCUACCUGUACAUUAUUGUAAAUAUCCAUGCAUUAAUGUGAUCAACAGGAGGGAAUGUUAGGAGAUGAUUAUAGUGCUCACAUUAUUGUCCACACAUUAUCACACACCCACAUGAGGAACUGGUGCAAACAGUUCCUCCUGCAGACACACGCACACACUCACUCACUCAAGAGUGUGGGACCGCCCCACCCUCUACAUUCUUGUACUCUAUGCUUUGCUAUAAAUAAAGGUACAAGGAGCUGCUCAGCGCGUCUCUGCCUCAGAACGUGAGCUGAGCAGGGUGCCCUUGUACAAGAAAUCUCUUUGUCUGUGUUUGAUCUGUUUCUCUCCUCUCAGUUCUGUGAUCCAGGUUGGAGUCAGCCCGCUGGAGGCGGUAAUCCUCUGACAAUAUAUAUAUGUAAAAAACUGACAAGUGAUGAAAGAUUUCUCUAUCAUCGGGAACUGAUGCAUCGCCAGCAGCAAUGCUUACCUCCAGAGUCGUUAAGACUAUUUUGGCUACAGAGGAGAAGUAGGCAUCCCAGAGGAACUGAGUCUGCUGGCGGAGACCCAAGAUCCUGUCACGGCCCACAGAUCGGAUAAUGGAGGGAACCUGGAGGAAGAGCCGAGAAAGAAAAGCAAGAGGACAAAAAUGACAGUGAGAUAGAUUAAGUUAGAUUUUAAACAAUGUUGAGUGAAGAAUGAGAAUCCGUACUUGAGGAAAAAAAGAGUGACAGGCAGACAGGUGGAGGAAGUGUCGGUAAUUGUGUGGACAUGCAGAAGAGAUUAAGAGGAAACUUCCCUCUCCAGACUCUCCCACCCCCACAUCUUCCUCUGUCCAUCAAGUAGUUUAUCCCCGGGAUAGUACGGUAACUCAACCACCUACCGUCCAGCUCUAAUACUGUAGUCACACCUUACAGUCAAAAUUAUUUGGCUUCUACGAGAGGGAACAUUGCAUAUCAUACUGUAUGUGCUCAAGUACCUGGUCAUCAAGACGUCUUGUCCCAAAUUUGGUCUAUAUUUUACUGCAUAUUCUUUACAAUUUUUAAUCAUAUAAAAGUGGAUACUUCUAGUAUAUUUUCUACAUACAAUGGUGGAAAAAAGUUUUCAGACACCCUUAAAAUUUUACACAAUCUCAAAUAUUAUCAUGGAAUAUUUGUGGAAAAAAUCUUUUUUGUGUUUCAAAUGAUGUGGCUGCAUUAGACAGACACAAACUAAAUGCUAUUUUUUUGUUUAUUGUUUACAAGAAAAACUAACAUAACUAAAUUCUUGACAGUUUCAAUAUUUCAGUUCUCAACAUUGUCGGUAUUAAAGUCAACAAAUAACAGAGAACCUAAGAUAAAUAAACCAUCACAUCAUCAAGUUAAUAUUUAGUAGUCCUGCCAUUAGCACGCAUUAGAGCUAAUCCUGGCUGGCAUGUUCCCCACGAGCCUUUCACACUGUUAAGGGGUAAUCUUGUCCCAUUCUUCUUGAAUUACUGCUUUUAGUUCUCCUAAAUUCUUUGGUUUACGCUUUGAAACAGACCUUUUGAUAAUCCACCACAGAUUUUCAAUGGGGCUUAUGUCUGGGGAUUGAGCUGGCCACUAUAAAAAUUGGAUACUGUGCUCCUGAGGCCAAAUUCUACUGACCCUGGAUGUGUGUCAAAGGGCAUUAUGUUGUUGAAACAUUCUGUUUUGAUCUCAAAGGAACAGUGCAUGGGUGGAAGGGAACAUGUGGGUUUGGAGAAAGGCACAAUACUUUGCAAAGUUCAGUGUGCCAUCAAAAAUGGUGAGAUGACCAACACCAGCAGCACUCAUGUAUCCCCAAACCAUGACACUGCCUCCACCAUGCUUGAAAGUAGAUACAUGAUGGAGAUAAUGCUUUGCCUGGCCUUCUGUGUACCCUCACAUUAGCAGGAGGAAGAUAAAGCAGGAAACUGGACUCAUCUGACCACAGAAUCUUCUUCCAGUUCCUGGCUGUCCAGUUCUUGUGUGCUUGGGUUCAACGACGCCGGGCUAACCUCUGUUUCUCAUUGAUCAGCUGCUUCUUGACAGCCUUGUAGGACCUUUAGCAAUGAUCUAAAAGUUGGCCACGUACAGUGUGGGUGGAACACUGGACACCAGCUUGGUUUAACCACUGCUGCUGAAGCUCCUGUGAUGGCAUUUAGUGGUUUUCCCUGCACACUCGGCUCAGGAUGCAGUUCUUUCUUGCUGAAGAAACCCUUGGAUGCCCAAAUCUUGGCUUGUCUUCCAAGCUAUUGGUUCGUCUGUAUUUCUGCAGUGUAUCCAACUGCUGAAGGACUGCAUCUGCACUUCCUGGCUAUCUGGCGGCAGUUAGGUUCCUUGUUUUAGCCAUUUUUGUCUCUGAAGAACUUUCAGAUGUGCUGGCUUUAUACAGACACGAAGUACGGCAACAACAAUUGUGUCUUUCAAUAACAAACACGACUUUCAUUCGUAGAUCACUGGUACCAAAAAGACCCAAUACUCAAAAUUUCCCAUGUAUUUUUUAUGGAAUACAAGUUACUAAUGGCUUUUUAAGGAUUUUUUUAGUAUUUUGGCUGUGACUGUACUAUAAUGAAUUACCCCUGAAGACCUAAGAGUGAUUCUUAAUGCCAUAUUUCACAAAUGCAUGGGGUGUCCGAAAACAAUUUACCACCACUGUACAAGAUCUUUCUUUUUCAGUGAGCGUGGUCAGUUUUCCAAAAGCCAAAGACUGAUUUAUAAUUUAGAGUAAUAUAAAGCAGAGAAAAAGAUCAGACAUCAAGUUUCCACUUUCAGUUGUUAUUCCAGGAAAAAUUACACCUGCAUGAUGGUAGCAUUGUAUUAUAAGCCCCUUUCCAGACAUGUUGUUUUGACUUUUCUGUAAAAGUCACAAUCUCACUAGGUCAGACCUGGUGACAUUUCCAUAUCACAUUCAACAUGGCAUAGGUCAGAACUGCAGGCUUUGGGAUUAACAGAUAUGCACACACAAACAGCGUACUUUGAGGUGUGUUGAAUGACUUAUAGAGGGAUUUUUUUUUUCUCAUUUCUGCACCAAUAAUGGUUCAACAACAUCACAGAGAGCCAUCUCAGACAGGUUGCAUGUCAGAAAACACCUGUCUCAUUCUCUUUGCUUGCUAAUUUCCUCUAUUUCAAACUGAAAUGUUCACAGGAAUAAAACCAAUCCAGGUUUUGCCAAAACAUUGACAGAAGUGGAAAUUCAAUUUGUUGCUUCGAGCUGUUUGUAGGAGUCUUUACUCUAAAUGUAUUAAACACCUGUAGCAUUAAACAGCAGCAGGAUCCAUGUGAGUGUCUCCAAAGAGAGAGUUGUGUGCAUUUACAGUCACCAUACACUUCAUUAAUUAUUCAUACAUGAUUUCCCCACAUUGAUCCGCAUCUAACAAUAAGUUUCACUGUGAACUUUUCUUCACCUCAGACAGGUGAGCUGUCACACAGAGUCAGUCUAUCAGCUGCAGUUAAAUCAUUUGUUACACAGCAGCUGUCCUCAGGUUGACUCCUGAGCUCCAUCACAGCUGUCAGGUAGUGGUUAGAUAAUCAUCACACAGAAUUUUCAGUGGAAAUUUUAAAUUACUUAAAGUUAAUAUUUUUGGAUAGCUGAAUAAGCUGCUUUGAAUUUAGAUUUACGCUUUUGUUUAUAGUGCAUCAUUGUGUGUUAUACAUCACUUUAUGUUCAGUCCAAACUGGCAUUAAUGUCAAAUACUGUACAGGUAUUGUGUGUCUAUCACUGUGGUGCGUUUGUCUGAAAGAAGCUGAAUGAAGCCAUGAGGAACAUUAAUGUAUACUACCUUUCAAAAGUUUGGGGUCACCCAGGCAAUUCCAUGUUUUCCAUCAAGUCACAUUUUUAUUCCUGUGUUAACAUAAUUGCCAAAGGGCUUUCUAAUCAUCAGUUAGCCUUUCAACACGAUUAGCUAACACAAUGACCCCAAACUUAUGAAUGGUAGUGUAUAAGUAUUGUAUAUCUGAAUGACAGAAAACUGUCACUUUAACAGACUGAUGAAGCAGCAAUGCGAUGUAUCGCAUGUCUAAAAAGGGCUAAAGGUUUAGAUUUUAGUGAAGAAGCAGUUUUUCAUCUCUGUGAAGGUAAAGCAACUUUCUAUUACCCUUACAUUGUCUCAACAAGUUAUUACAAGUUGGUCAUUUAUUUAAUUUGAAUGGAUAUCAAAUUAAAUAACCUUGCAAUGGACAUGUACCAACAAACAGUGCUGAUCUGCUAUAGCGGCCAAAAUAUCUUGUUCCUAGUGUGCCAGCGGAAAAUCGAGGUCCCAGCUCACCUCGACAUGGAAAAUAUGAACAGCUGGCUUGUGGAUUGUAAGAGUAACACUCUCAGGGGGAGGCAGUGAAGAGAUAAAAUCAAGGGAUACGAUGAUCCUGACCAGGGAGCUAAACAUUUAGAUAAGCCAGGAAGUGAGAUAGCAGGAUGCUGCCUUGAUGCUCAGUUUGGAAACAUUUUUUUAAAAAGCCUUCUGGAUGAGGUCAGACAUGACCUACAGUAUGCUGCCCCACUCAGCCUGACAACGAAGCUGUAAAGGGAAUAAGCAGGCUUUCAGCCAGUGUUUCUGAAGAGUCUCAUUGGCCCUUGAGAGAGUAUGGUGGAUCUGGAGCCCAGGACCCGUCUGGUGUUUUGGCCACAGCAACAAAAACCUCUUCACUGAACGAUAUAGUGCCAACCUGUCGGACGUGGCUAGUGGAAUAGUCACUGCGGCCUAAAAGAGGAACAGUGACUUGUGAUUGUCAGGUGAUUGAAACACUGGUCUCUAUCCAGGAGAAGGAUGAGAAGUUUUGAUUAAAGAGUCCUGAGCUGCUUGGUUCCAUCUCACAUGAUACAACCAAAGAGCUCUCAUCUUACUGGGAUUUGUGAAGCCUAAUAAAGCCGCUCAGAGUGACA